GCCACCUUAGCUCAUUCGGUAGAGCAUCUGUUUUGUAACCAGAAGGUGCGGGGUUCGAAUCCCCGAGGUGGCUC
This 74-nucleotide transfer RNA is filed under the name Patescibacteria group bacterium. Its description in RNAcentral is "tRNA-Thr". It matches the Rfam family "tRNA". Rfam says of the family: Transfer RNA (tRNA) molecules are approximately 80 nucleotides in length. Their secondary structure includes four short double-helical elements and three loops (D, anti-codon, and T loops). The record is from RNAcentral.